CAAAAGUAUAUAUUUAAGUUGUUGCGGUUAAAAAGCUCGUAGUUGGAUUUGGGCGCAGGCGUCCGGUCCGUCGCAAGGCGUGUACUGUACGUCCUGGCCUUCCCUCCGGUUCUCCGCCGGUGCUCUUGACUGAGUGUCGGCGGCGGCCGGAACGUUUACUUUGAAAAAAUUAGAGUGUUCAAAGCAGGCUCUCGAGCCUGGAUAAUGGUGCAUGGAAUAAUGGAAUAGGACCUCGGUUCUAUUUUGUUGGUUUUCGGAGCGCGAGGUAAUGAUUAAGAGGGACAGACGGGGGCAUUCGUACUGUGCCGUUAGAGGUGAAAUUCUUGGAUCGGCGCAAGACGAACGACUGCGAAAGCAUUUGCCAAGAAUGUUUUCUUUAAUCAAGAGCGAAAGUCAGAGGUUCGAAGACGAUCAGAUACCGUCCUAGUUCUGACUAUAAACGAUGCCAACUAGCGAUCGGGGGGCGUUACAUUGACGACCCCUCCGGCAGCUUACGGGAAACCAAAGUCUUUGGGUUCCGGGGGAAGUAUGGUUGCAAAGCUGAAACUUAAAGGAAUUGACGGAAGGGCACCACCAGGAGUGGAGCCUGCGGCUUAAUUUGACUCAACACGGGAAAUCUCACCCGGCCCGGACACAGUGAGGAUUGACAGAUUGAGAGCUCUUUCUUGAUUCUGUGGGUGGUGGUGCAUGGCCGUUCUUAGUUGGUGGAGCGAUUUGUCUGGUUAAUUCCGAUAACGAACGAGACUCUGGCUUGCUAAAUAGUUACGCGACCAUCCCGGUCGGCGUUUAACUUCUUAGAGGGACAAGUGGCGUUUAGCCACACGAGAUUGAGCAAUAACAGAUCUGUGAUGCCCUUAGAUGUUCGGGGGCCGCACGCGCGCUACACUGACCGGA
Ciona savignyi (Pacific transparent sea squirt) is the source of this 894-nucleotide non-coding RNA. The record is from Rfam. NCBI's taxonomy places the organism in Eukaryota, Metazoa, Chordata, Ascidiacea, Phlebobranchia, Cionidae.